GUGAUGAAUAACCUAUCAAAUAAAUCACGGUUAGAACCUGAUUCAAUGUGAAGAUUUAUCUAGGGCGGACUGAUGUA
Small nucleolar RNA from Amyelois transitella, 77 nucleotides. RefSeq annotates it as small nucleolar RNA U43. The transcript has a single exon. The record is from RefSeq and is a predicted model, not a curated record. Lineage: Eukaryota; Metazoa; Arthropoda; Insecta; Lepidoptera; Pyralidae.